UCGGGAAUUUUGGGCAAUGGGGGAAACCCUGACCCAGCAACGCCGCGUGAAGGAUGAAGUAUUUCGGUAUGUAAACUUCGAAAGAAUAGGAAGAAUAAAUGACGGUACUAUUUAUAAGGUCCGGCUAACUACGUGCCAGCAGCCGCGGUAAUACGUAGGGACCAAGCGUUGUUCGGAUUUAUUGGGCGUAAAGCGUUCGUAGGCGGUUUGUUAAGUCUGAUGUUAAAUCCUGAGGCUCAACCUCAGCAUGGCAUUGGAAACUGGCAGGCUAGAGUAUGGUAGAGGCAAGGGGAAUUCCCGGUAUAGCGGUGAAAUGCGUAGAUAUCGGGAGGAACACCAGUGGCGAAAGCGCCUUGCUGGACCAUUACUGACGCUAAGGAACGAAAGCCAGGGUAGCGAAAGGGAUUAGAUACCCUUGUAGUCCCUGAGCGGGCUGGCAAGGCGCAU
Molecule: ribosomal RNA, 447 nt
Filed under: uncultured bacterium
Lineage: Bacteria
Description: bacterial SSU rRNA
Rfam family: Bacterial small subunit ribosomal RNA
Source: RNAcentral